Lonchura striata (white-rumped munia) is the source of this 767-nucleotide non-coding RNA. Lineage: Eukaryota; Metazoa; Chordata; Aves; Passeriformes; Estrildidae. The record is from RefSeq and is a predicted model, not a curated record.
GGCUGGAUGGCGCGAGUGGGCCGCAGCAGGAACCUCGAGCGGUGUCUGGAGCCGCAGGGACGAGCAGACUCCGGAGUAGCAAACAGAAUUGAUGAAGAAGAAAAAUUCAGUGUCAGGAGUUGGUGAAUCUCUUGAUGAAAUUUACGGGAACACUGCAUUCACAUGGAUCUGUCCGAGGAUUUCCAUGAUAUCCAUCCCGGGUCGUUCACCAGAUGAUCAGCGCCUGGGGUCCCCCGUAUCUCUCCAGACAUGGUCCAUCUCCUGGCCGAGCCGCAUCCUUCUACGUGUAAAUCGGGCUUCAACAUACACCAGGUUUCACCUGCGAGGGUUGGGGGGAGUCCUAAUACAAAUGUGUCCAACAGAUAUUCAAUAUCACAUAUAUCAUACUAGAAAUGGCAUGAAUUUCUACUACUACACAUAACAGUAAGGACGUAAAUUUUGUAGCAAAAGAAUAUUAUUUUUCAAGGCUCCUGUCAAACAAUAGAUGCUGGAUUCAGAAAAAAACACACCCUUUACACAUUACAGUGUGAUGUCUUGUCUUGAAAAAAACCUUGUCCUGCAGUCAGUCUGCUAUUGGCUUUAAGCCCACAAUUGUGUGCCAUGUUCCUCUUUGCUCUUUUUUACAUCCCAGCAAACUUUCUCGUAGUGCAUGAGGAAGAUUUCACCCAUUACUCAUGGUAUACCAUUCAUUUUAUCUACUUGCUUUAGUGCUUUCUGUCCUGACACUGCUGGAAACAAUUUUAUUCAAUGAAAGAUGAAAUUCAGGA